GUGGGGAAUUUUGCACAAUGGGCGCAAGCCUGAUGCAGCGACGCCGCGUGAGGGAUGGAGGCCUUCGGGUUGUGAACCUCUUUCGCUCAUGGUCAAGCCGCAGUUUUGUCUGUGGUGAGGGUAGUGGGUAAAGAAGCGCCGGCUAACUACGUGCCAGCAGCCGCGGUAAUACGUAGGGCGCGAGCGUUGUCCGGAAUUAUUGGGCGUAAAGGGCUUGUAGGCGGCUUGUCGCGUCUGCCGUGAAAUCCUCUGGCUUAACUGGGGGCGUGCGGUGGGUACGGGCUGGCUUGAGUGCGGUAGGGGAGACUGGAAUUCCUGGUGUAGCGGUGGAAUGCGCAGAUAUCAGGAGGAACACCGGUGGCGAAGGCGGGUCUCUGGGCCGUUACUGACGCUGAGGAGCGAAAGCAUGGGGAGCGAACAGGAUUAGAUACCCUGGUAGUCC
This 442-nucleotide ribosomal RNA is filed under the name uncultured bacterium. RNAcentral's name for it is "partial 16S ribosomal RNA". It matches the Rfam family "Bacterial small subunit ribosomal RNA", at positions 354 to 796 of the family's 1533-position model. The record is from RNAcentral.